GAUGAAGAACGCAGCGAAUUGCGAUAUGUAAUGUGAAUUGCAGAAUUCAGUGAAUCAUCGAGUCUUUGAACGCACAUUGCGCCCCCUGGUAUUCCGGGGGGCAUGCCUGUCCGAGCGUCAUUGCUGCCCUCAAGCACGGCUUGUGUGUUGGGCCUCCGUCCUCCUCCCGGGGGACGGGCCCGAAAGGCAGCGGCGGCACCGCGUCCGGUCCUCGAGCGUAUGGGGCUUCGUCACCCGCUCUUGUAGGCCCGGCCGGCGCUUGCCGACACAUCAAUCUUUUUUCCAGGUUGACCUCGGAUCAGGUAGGGAUACCCGCUGAACUUAAGCAUAUCAAUAAGCGGAGGA
RNAcentral lists this unclassified non-coding RNA (345 nucleotides) under soil metagenome. RNAcentral describes it as "partial contains 5.8S ribosomal RNA, internal transcribed spacer 2, and large subunit ribosomal RNA". The stretch from base 1 to 120 matches the Rfam family "5.8S ribosomal RNA", at positions 35 to 154 of the family's 154-position model. The record is from RNAcentral.